AUACGUAGGGGGCGAAGCGUUAUCCGGAAUUACUGGGUGUAAAGGGAGCGUAGGCGGUAUGGUAAGCCAGAUGUGAAAGCCCGAAGCUUAACUUCGAGGAUUGCAUUUGGAACUAUCAAACUAGAGUACAGGAGAGGUAAGUGGAAUUCCUAGUGUAGCGGUGAAAUGCGUAGAUAUUAGGAAGAACACCAGUGGCGAAGGCGACUUACUGGACUGAAACUGACGCUGAGGCUCGAAAGCGUGGGGAGGC
This 250-nucleotide ribosomal RNA is filed under the name uncultured bacterium. RNAcentral's name for it is "partial 16S ribosomal RNA". It matches the Rfam family "Bacterial small subunit ribosomal RNA", at positions 523 to 770 of the family's 1533-position model. The record is from RNAcentral.